UACAGAGGGUGCAAGCGUUAAUCGGAAUGACUGGGCGUAAAGGGCGCGUAGGUGGCUGAUUAAGUUAGAUGUGAAAUCCCCGGGCUUAACCUGGGAACUGCAUUUAAUACUGGUCGGCUAGAGUGUGGGAGAGGUAAGUGGAAUUUCCGGUGUAGCGGUGAAAUGCGUAGAUAUCGGAAGGAACACCAGUGGCGAAGGCGGCUUACUGGCCUAACACUGACACUGAGGCGCGAAAGCGUGGGGAGCAAACAGG
RNAcentral lists this ribosomal RNA (253 nucleotides) under uncultured bacterium. RNAcentral describes it as "partial 16S ribosomal RNA". It matches the Rfam family "Bacterial small subunit ribosomal RNA", at positions 524 to 776 of the family's 1533-position model. The record is from RNAcentral.